GAUGAACGCUGGCGGCGUGCCUAAUACAUGCAAGUCGAGCGAACGGACGAGAAGUUUGCUUCUCUGAUGUUAGCGGCUGACGGGUGAGUAACACGUGGAUAACCUACCUAUAAGACUGGGAUAACUUCGGGAAACCGGAGCUAAUACCGGAUAAUAUUUUGAACCGCAUGGUUCAAAAGUGAAAGACGGUCUUGCUGUCACUUAUAGAUGGAUCCGCGCUGCAUUAGCUAGUUGGUAAGGUAACGGCUUACCAAGGCAACGAUGCAUAGCCGACCUGAGAGGGUGAUCGGCCACACUGGAACUGAGACACGGUCCAGACUCCUACGGGAGGCAGCAGUAGGGAAUCUUCCGCAAUGGGCGAAAGCCUGACGGAGCAACGCCGCGUGAGUGAUGAAGGUCUUCGGAUCGUAAAACUCUGUUAUUAGGAAAGAACAUAUGUGUAAGUAACUGUGCACAUCUUGACGGUACCUAAUCAGAAAGCCACGGCUAACUACGUG
This 497-nucleotide ribosomal RNA is filed under the name uncultured bacterium. RNAcentral's name for it is "partial 16S ribosomal RNA". It matches the Rfam family "Bacterial small subunit ribosomal RNA", at positions 28 to 507 of the family's 1533-position model. The record is from RNAcentral.